UACGGGGGGAGCAAGCGUUGUUCGGAUUUACUGGGCGUAAAGGGCGCGUAGGCGGCGUGACAAGUCACUUGUGAAAUCUCCGGGCUUAACUCGGAACGGUCAAGUGAUACUGUCGUGCUAGAGUACAGAAGGGGCAACUGGAAUUCUCGGUGUAGCGGUGAAAUGCGUAGAUAUCGGGAGGAACACCUGUGGCGAAGGCGGCCCCCUGGUUGGAUACUGACGCUGAGACGCGAAAGCGUGGGGAGCAAACAGG
RNAcentral lists this ribosomal RNA (253 nucleotides) under uncultured bacterium. RNAcentral describes it as "partial 16S ribosomal RNA". It matches the Rfam family "Bacterial small subunit ribosomal RNA", at positions 524 to 776 of the family's 1533-position model. The record is from RNAcentral.